UUUUGUCCGCGCAGCCGCGGGGAGCUGCCCGGCCCUGGACACCCCAUGGGAGCAGGUACGUUUGAUGUCAUCGAUGACAUCAUUCCCCCGCCCCAAUUUUGGUGAUGACAUCACACCCAGCUCACCUUGAGCCCUGAAAACACUCGGGAUGGCUGAAAAAUUGGGAUGAGGGUGGAGGGGACGGGAAUGGGGGAGGGGAGACACUCACCCCCCCCCCUUCCCCCCUCCCCCCUUCGCUUUCCCACAGGUGGCACGAGCCGAGGGCGGGGCCGGAGAUGUGCCCCCGCUCGGAUGGAUCCCGCGGCCUCGUGUCACAAGUUCAAUGAAAUCGAUAUUUUUGUUCAAUAAAAUGGAUAUUUUUGAUACAAAA
RNAcentral lists this long non-coding RNA (370 nucleotides) under Strigops habroptila (Kakapo). Its description in RNAcentral is "lncRNA (ENSSHBG00005019361.1)". The record is from RNAcentral. Lineage: Eukaryota; Metazoa; Chordata; Aves; Psittaciformes; Psittacidae.